GAAACCUCUCGUCUCUCAAAACUCUCUCACACCCUCUCGAAAUCCUAGCCUAUCUCACCGUUGCCUACCUCAAGCUCACUGGAAAUCAUGGCCAUUUCGGUCAUAAUACCUUCAUACUCACCCUCUAUUACUCUUGUGUAAUCAAUAUUUGAAAAACCAAUGCCUUGACCUUGUUGGCUCCUUUUAGAUCUUCUCAGAUCUGUGGAUCUACGGCUUCUCCGGCCACUAUUCCAGCAUAUUCUAGCAAUAUGAGUCUUUUCGACUCAGGAUCGGACUUUCCUCAAAACCUUUCUCACUUCUAGGGUUUUUUCUGCAAUACAUAGCUAUUCGAGGUUUUUUUUACUUUAUUUCCUUAAAUUUAUCAUGUAUCUAUGCCCACUUGAAUUUUCAAACGAUUUCCCCAAUUUUCCUUUCAAAAAUUCCUUUUUUAGAUCUUUUUUUCUUCGAUCUAUGAUUUUCUAAAAUGUUUGAGUGAUUUAUGACCUUCAUUUUCCUUUACAUGUACUUGCUCAUACUGUGUUCUUAUGUUCUUCCUUUUACCAUGCUUUUUUAUGACUAUCUUACUGUGUUCUUUUAUAUGUGUUUUUGCUAUAAUUUUUUUCCCUGAUUUUCUUGUGUUCUUCUGUUGCAUUUUUCUACUAAGUAUGAUAAGUUCUUUAUUUGCCUUUUCUGGACUUUGUUUGAAGUUCUUUCUAGACAUGUUUCAUCUAUUGUUUUCUUAAAUUUACACUACCUCUUUGUCCUCUUAACCUUUCUCGAAAUAGAUUCUUUAUGCUUCAAAUAAGCUUUUAUGCUAUGGUUGUUUCGAACUUGCUAUUUUACAUGCUUGUUUUCUCAUGAGUCUCUGAAAGAGACUUCCGUGCCUAUUUUAGUCAUUUGCCUUCUCGUCUCUACAUCUGAUUCAAGUUGAAAACCCUAGGAUUUGGGGUUUUUGGCAAGUUUGGCCUUGUGUUUGGACUAGGGUUCUAUUAUGGGACUGGAUUCUCUCAAACUAAGUCUAAGCUCAAGUACUAAAUCUGAGCCUUUUUGUUUGUAACUUUGAACUUUUCUUUACUAGAUUCUUUCUAAUUAUCUUGACAGUUUUUUCUUGUUUGACAUGUCUGUAUGCUUUAUAUAUGAGCGAUUCUUCCUUCAAAAAGGUUUUACCAAUUUGUGAUUGAUUCAGAAUUCCUUUUAAUAAGGUUCGAUUGAUUGUUAUUGAUUUUCUUUAAUUAAACCUUUC
RNAcentral lists this long non-coding RNA (1222 nucleotides) under Nicotiana benthamiana. RNAcentral's name for it is "long non-coding RNA (NBEN_LNC015096)". The record is from RNAcentral. Lineage: Eukaryota; Viridiplantae; Streptophyta; Magnoliopsida; Solanales; Solanaceae.